AUGGGCGCAAGCCUGAUCCAGCCAUGCCGCGUGAGUGAUGAAGGCCCUAGGGUUGUAAAGCUCUUUUGUGCGGGAAGAUAAUGACGGUACCGCAAGAAUAAGCCCCGGCUAACUUCGUGCCAGCAGCCGCGGUAAUACGAAGGGGGCUAGCGUUGCUCGGAAUCACUGGGCGUAAAGGGUGCGUAGGCGGGUCUUUAAGUCAGGGGUGAAAUCCUGGAGCUCAACUCCAGAACUGCCUUUGAUACUGAAGAUCUUGAGUUCGGGAGAGGUGAGUGGAACUGCGAGUGUAGAGGUGAAAUUCGUAGAUAUUCGCAAGAACACCAGUGGCGAAGGCGGCUCACUGGCCCGAUACUGACGCUGAGGCACGAAAGCGUGGGGAGCAAACAGGAUUAGAUACCCUGGUAGUCCACGCCGUAAACGAUGAGUGCUAGGUGUUGUGGGUAUUGACCCCCGCAGUGCCAAAGCUAACGCGUUAAGCACUCCGCCUGGGGAGUAC
RNAcentral lists this ribosomal RNA (496 nucleotides) under uncultured bacterium. RNAcentral's name for it is "bacterial SSU rRNA". It matches the Rfam family "Bacterial small subunit ribosomal RNA", at positions 371 to 883 of the family's 1533-position model. The record is from RNAcentral.